This 211-nucleotide unclassified non-coding RNA is filed under the name plant metagenome. RNAcentral's name for it is "partial contains small subunit ribosomal RNA, internal transcribed spacer 1, and 5.8S ribosomal RNA". The record is from RNAcentral.
UUUCCGUAGGUGAACCUGCGGAAGGAUCAUUCAUAAUAAAGUGUUUUAUGGCACUUUUUAAAAAUCCAUAUCCACCUUGUGUGCAAUGUUAGAUCUCGUCAAUCUUGGCGAGAUUUUUAUACAUCAACUCAUUCUUUAACUAAUUUGUCUGAAAAAUAUUAUGAAUACUUAAUUCAAAUUACAACUUUCAACAACGGAUCUCUUGGCUCUC